AAGUCGUAACAAGGUUUCCGUAGGUGAACCUGCGGAAGGAUCAUUAAAAAAAGGGUCGAAAGACCUAUUUUCUACUGAAACUCUACAAUCUUUUUUAGAUGGUAGAUGUUUCUUUAAAAUCCAAUAAAACAUAUCGUCUUUGGACGAACUAAAAAUAAAAUUCUAAAAAACUUUCAACAAUGGAUCUCUUGGCUCUC
RNAcentral lists this unclassified non-coding RNA (197 nucleotides) under Archaeospora sp. RNAcentral describes it as "partial contains small subunit ribosomal RNA, internal transcribed spacer 1, and 5.8S ribosomal RNA". The stretch from base 1 to 46 matches the Rfam family "Eukaryotic small subunit ribosomal RNA", at positions 1786 to 1831 of the family's 1831-position model. Lineage: Eukaryota; Fungi; Glomeromycota; Glomeromycetes; Archaeosporales; Archaeosporaceae. The record is from RNAcentral.